Molecule: non-coding RNA, 452 nt
Organism: Phascolarctos cinereus (koala)
Lineage: Eukaryota; Metazoa; Chordata; Mammalia; Diprotodontia; Phascolarctidae
Source: RefSeq, a predicted model, not a curated record
CUAUUCUUUGUGGGGAAGAAAAAGGCAAUCUGCACAGCAUGUGUUGGAUGGAGGUUAUAUAGUAACAUUUUCCAAAUGUGGCCUUUGAAUUGGAGCAUACAGAUAGCUGAACAGAAACUCAACAUCCAAUGAGGUGAUUAGUCAUUGUCCUCACUGCCUUGCCAAGGCUAAUUUCAUUCUGGAUGAAACAAAAAAUGGGUUAAGGUCCAUCUUUAUUUCUACAAAGUUGGAUUCAUAUAUUCCCUGAAUGAGUCUUGUCGGAUAUAGUCCUGAAUACUGUAUAGCUUCUGUAGUUACUUUGGAUGGAAUCAAAACUCAGUCACUGAACCAAACUGCCAAAGAGGAAUGGAGAAAAUAUACUGCAUCACCUUGUUACAAAAAAAAAAAUUCAAUGUACUGACUUGAAUGGGAUUCUGUUGAUAAUACCAUUACUAAUAAUAUAUGGGGAGUAU